GAAACAUCAGUAUCUGUUUUAGCACGAUAAGCUUCGUAAAUAUAGGAAUCAUUUCCGAAACCCCAUAUACCAUGGCCUUAAUCAUCAUUUCCGUAUAAGUCCUUAGUAGUUUAUCUCAACAGUCAGCUUCGGCCUACACAUCCUCUACGUAGGGGAUCGAUGCAAAUAAGUGAAUGAUCCAGAAAAACAAAAAAAUAAAAGAAAGCAAAAAGGUAACUCUGGUAUAGGUGACCCUCACAAAGUCAUUUAAACCAAAGAAUU
RNAcentral lists this long non-coding RNA (261 nucleotides) under Lathyrus oleraceus (garden pea). RNAcentral's name for it is "Pisum sativum (pea) long non-coding RNA (PSAT_LNC024714)". The record is from RNAcentral. Lineage: Eukaryota; Viridiplantae; Streptophyta; Magnoliopsida; Fabales; Fabaceae.